Molecule: long non-coding RNA, 298 nt
Organism: Drosophila virilis
Lineage: Eukaryota; Metazoa; Arthropoda; Insecta; Diptera; Drosophilidae
Source: RefSeq, a predicted model, not a curated record
CUAAUCAUGGAUAACUAUGCGGGCUAAACCCAUCAACAGAUCCAAAUCGUCUCCGAAUUCUGAACGUUUUUCAAUACCUACAGCACAACAUUUUAAAGCACAGAUUUUUGUGGACAUGGUCUUUGUCUAAGGAGGAGGUUGUCCUUAUAGUUGAAAGAGAAGGCAUAUAAGCGAACUUCUAUUUGGAAAUACAUUGAUUGAAGAAGUCAAGAGCUGGCAUCGAUUCUGAUUACAUUCGCUAAUAAAAGAAGGCUUCAUUUAACCGAGCUAUAUCUAUGUAUUUAAAAAAUAAACUUAA